AUUGAACGCUGGCGGCAGGCCUGACACAUGCAAGUCGAACGGUAACAGGAAACAGCUUGCUGUUUCGCUGACGAGUGGCGGACGGGUGAGUAAUGUCUGGGAAACUGCCUGAUGGAGGGGGAUAACUACUGGAAACGGUAGCUAAUUCCGCAUAACGUCACAAGACCAAAGAGGGGGACCUUCGGGCCUCUUGCCAUCGGAUGCGCCCAGAUGGGAUUUGCUAGUAGGUGGGGUAACGGCUCACCUAGGCGACGAUCCCUAGCUGGUCUGAGAGGAUGACCAGCCACACUGGAACUGAGACACGGUCCAGACUCCUACGGGAGGCAGCAGUGGGGAAUAUUGCACAAUGGGCGCAAGCCUGAUGCAGCCAUGCCGCGUGUAUGAAGAAGGCCUUCGGGUUGUAAAGUACUUUCAGCGGGGAGGAAGGGAGUAAAGUUAAUACCUUUGCUCAUUGACGUUACCCGCAGAAGAAGCACCGGCUAACUCCGUGCCAGCAGCCGCAGUAA
This 506-nucleotide ribosomal RNA is filed under the name uncultured bacterium. Its description in RNAcentral is "partial 16S ribosomal RNA". It matches the Rfam family "Bacterial small subunit ribosomal RNA", at positions 30 to 523 of the family's 1533-position model. The record is from RNAcentral.